RNAcentral lists this ribosomal RNA (453 nucleotides) under uncultured bacterium. Its description in RNAcentral is "bacterial SSU rRNA". It matches the Rfam family "Bacterial small subunit ribosomal RNA", at positions 340 to 783 of the family's 1533-position model. The record is from RNAcentral.
UACGGGAGGCAGCAGUGGGGAAUAUUGCACAAUGGGCGCAAGCCUGAUGCAGCCAUGCCGCGUGUAUGAAGAAGGCCUUCGGGUUGUAAAGUACUUUCAGUCGUGAGGAAGGUGUUAAGGUUAAUAACCUUAGCAAUUGACGUUAGCGACAGAAGAAGCACCGGCUAACUCCGUGCCAGCAGCCGCGGUAAUACGGAGGGUGCGAGCGUUAAUCGGAAUUACUGGGCGUAAAGGGCACGCAGGCGGUUAAUUAAGUUGGAUGUGAAAUCCCCGGGCUUAACCUGGGAAUGGCAUUCAAGACUGGUUAGCUAGAGUCUUGUAGAGGGGGUAGAAUUCCGAUGUGUAGCGGUGAAAUGCGUAGAGAUGUGGAGGAAUACCGGUGGCGAAGGCGGCCCCUGGGACAAAGGCUGACGCUCAUGUGCGAAAGCGUGGGGAGCGAAACAGGGAUUAGAU